RNAcentral lists this long non-coding RNA (491 nucleotides) under Neogobius melanostomus (round goby). RNAcentral describes it as "lncRNA (ENSNMLG00000020928.1)". The record is from RNAcentral. Lineage: Eukaryota; Metazoa; Chordata; Actinopteri; Gobiiformes; Gobiidae.
ACGAAUAUUCCCGCGCGCUUCUGUCGGCCUAAACAGGGACAGAACGCUGACUCACUGUCCGUCAGUCUGAAGACAACCUGCCUCAGCACAACCUUAUUCCAUGUAGACUGCAUUAUCUAGGCUACACAGCUCCAAGUCCGAACAUGGGGAAGAAACGAAGGAAUUUGAACUACAAGGAGGACAUCAGAUCGUUUUUCAGUCCACCAAAACGCGCAGAAGUGGAUCCUGAAAAGGGAAGUGGAGACGCCCAGGGAGAAGAGUUGAACAACCAGGAUAUCAGAAUAGCCUCCCAGAGCUGCUGUUUGGAUGUGAACUGCCUCCCACCCUCAUAGAUGUUUUGCUUGAGGCUCCAAAGGUUCUCAAUUGAGAAUGAGGAGUUGUCGUCACGGCACAGAGCCCCCCCCGUCGAUCCCCCCCUCGCCGCCAUGAUGAAUGCAGUCCGGCGGCAAUGCACAUCGUUUACGUGUGUUGUUAACGUGGUAGUAGCGGAG